This 456-nucleotide ribosomal RNA is filed under the name Blastocystis sp. RNAcentral's name for it is "SSU rRNA". It matches the Rfam family "Eukaryotic small subunit ribosomal RNA", at positions 488 to 954 of the family's 1831-position model. Lineage: Eukaryota; Bigyra; Opalinata; Blastocystidae. The record is from RNAcentral.
GACUAGUCAUCAGUCUAGCAUUGGAUUGAGAACAAUGUACAACUCUUAUCGAUAAGCCAUUGGAGGGCAAGUCUGGUGCCAGCAGCCGCGGUAAUUCCAGCUCCAAUAGCGUAUAUUAACGUUGUUGCAGUUAAAAAGCUCGUAGUUGAAGUGUGGGUGAUCGCUGUUGUGAGACUUCGGUCUCUCGACAGUAAGUCACCCCCUUCCAGUAUCCAGUAGUGGGUAUUCAGUUACUUACUAUUGUGUGUUGGUCCUUUACUGUGAGAAAAUUAGAGUGUUCAAAGCAGGCGUUUGCUUGAAUAGAUUAGCAUGGAAUAAUAAUUGAAGGCUUUCGUGUUCGAUUUGAUUGGUUUGUUCAUGGAAGCAAGGUUAAAAGGAACAGUUGGGGGUAUUCAUAUUCACUAGUUAGAGGUGAGAUUCUCGGAUUUAUGGAAGAUGAACAGUGGCGAAAAGCAA